UGGUGGGUUGCCUUGUCAGGUUGAUUCCGGUAACGAACGAGACCUCAACCUGCUAAAUAGUCACGGUCGAUUUUUCGGCUGGCCGACUUCUUAGAGGGACUGUUGGCGACUAGCCAAUGGAAGUUUGAGGCAAUAACA
This 138-nucleotide ribosomal RNA is filed under the name uncultured eukaryote. RNAcentral describes it as "partial 18S ribosomal RNA". It matches the Rfam family "Eukaryotic small subunit ribosomal RNA", at positions 1299 to 1458 of the family's 1831-position model. The record is from RNAcentral.